This 481-nucleotide ribosomal RNA is filed under the name uncultured bacterium. RNAcentral describes it as "partial 16S ribosomal RNA". It matches the Rfam family "Bacterial small subunit ribosomal RNA", at positions 30 to 507 of the family's 1533-position model. The record is from RNAcentral.
AUUGAACGCUGGCGGCAGGCCUAACACAUGCAAGUCGAGCGGAUGAAGGGAGCUUGCUCCUGGAUUCAGCGGCGGACGGGUGAGUAAUGCCUAGGAAUCUGCCUGGUAGUGGGGAUAACGUCCGGAAACGGGCGCUAAUACCGCAUACGUCCUGAGGGAGAAAGUGGGGGAUCUUCGGACCUCACGCUAUCAGAUGAGCCUAGGUCGGAUUAGCUAGUUGGUGGGGUAAAGGCCUACCAAGGCGACGAUCCGUAACUGGUUUGAGAGGAUGAUCAGUCACACUGGAACUGAGACACGGUCCAGACUCCUACGGGAGGCAGCAGUGGGGAAUAUUGGACAAUGGGCGAAAGCCUGAUCCAGCCAUGCCGCGUGUGAAGAAGGUCUUCGGAUUGUAAAGCACUUUAAGUUGGGAGGAAGGGCAGUAAGUUAAUACCUUGCUGUUUUGACGUUACCAACAGAAUAAGCACCGGCUAACUUCGUG